This 392-nucleotide ribosomal RNA is filed under the name Chaetoceros curvisetus. RNAcentral's name for it is "partial Bacterial small subunit ribosomal RNA". It matches the Rfam family "Bacterial small subunit ribosomal RNA", at positions 1032 to 1423 of the family's 1533-position model. Lineage: Eukaryota; Bacillariophyta; Thalassiosirophyceae; Chaetocerotales; Chaetocerotaceae. The record is from RNAcentral.
ACACAGGUGCUGCAUGGCUGUCGUCAGCUCGUGUCUUGAGAUGUUGGGUUAAGUCCCGUAACGAGCGCAACCCUUGUCCUUAGUUACCAGCACGUUAUGGUGGGCACUCUAAGGAGACUGCCGGUGACAAACCGGAGGAAGGUGGGGAUGACGUCAAGUCCUCAUGGCCCUUACGGGUUGGGCUACACACGUGCUACAAUGGUCGGUACAGAGGGUUGCCAAGCCGCGAGGUGGAGCUAAUCCCAUAAAACCGAUCGUAGUCCGGAUCGCAGUCUGCAACUCGACUGCGUGAAGUCGGAAUCGCUAGUAAUCGCGAAUCAGAAUGUCGCGGUGAAUACGUUCCCGGGCCUUGUACACACCGCCCGUCACACCAUGGGAGUGGGUUGCACCAG